Non-coding RNA from Colossoma macropomum (tambaqui), 495 nucleotides. The record is from the annotation of a RefSeq genome assembly. NCBI's taxonomy places the organism in Eukaryota, Metazoa, Chordata, Actinopteri, Characiformes, Serrasalmidae.
AUGUUGGACGUAAGUGCAGAGUCAGACUAUGAUGGAGAUCCUGUAGAAGGUUUGGGUUUCUCUGAGUUAAACAGUGCAGUUUCAGUGCAGGAGGUUUUUGUACAGACACUCAGUGAGUUUCUAUCACUGUGGUACGUUUUCGGUGGAGGAACUAAACUCUCUGUUGGACGUGUCACUCGGCCCUCCCUCUCUCUGCUGCCCCCCUCCAGUGAGGAGCUCCAGCGGGGGAAGGCUACACUGCUGUGUUUGGUCAGUAAGGGCUUUCCCUCAGACUGGACGCUGAGCUGGAAGGUGGACGGUAGCAGGUGGAGCUCAGGUGUGGUGACCAGCCCCGGCGUGCUGCAGCAGGGAAACGGCCUGUACAGCUGGAGCAGCACGCUGACCCUCACUGAGGACCAGUGGAGGAAGACGAGGACAGUGAGCUGUGAGGUCAGUCACGGCUCCAGCACAGCAGUGAAGAAGAGUCUGAACACACAGCAGUGUAUCGAGAACUAA